GAAUACGAUUGUUGGUUGGUUUUGCAAAAGCUGAUUAGGGUUAUUAUUUGUGGCCCCGUGUUUU
This 64-nucleotide transfer RNA is filed under the name Echinococcus granulosus. Its description in RNAcentral is "tRNA-Cys". Lineage: Eukaryota; Metazoa; Platyhelminthes; Cestoda; Cyclophyllidea; Taeniidae. The record is from RNAcentral.